GUCACAUGUAGGCAGUAGGGAUAUGCAUUACAUUUGGACGAAUCCUGAAUCUCAGCGCGUCUCGGGGGCAUUUUCGGCAUGUCAGAAAUGAAGUGGGAUCUUUACAAGGUGGCAAAAGUCAAAGUGAGGACCCUUGAAAUGCUGCAUUAGCACCUUGGUGAUUGAGACAUCAACAAAAUGUUGCAGACAAGCAUCUGCUAGAGGUAAAAGGAGGAGUCCAUCUUGUGGUUUCAUCCAGCAGGGUAAUUCUAAUCCAUCCUCUGGCGAAACCCUAAAACUCCUCAUGGACUCAUGAGGUAAUUAAUUUUUUCUUUCAAACUAUAGCUAUUUAGAAGGACUAACUGCUCUUGUAAAUGCCACCACAUGUACAAGCCUACACUUGGUUUUGUAAACCGCUUUGAGGUCACCCCCCCCCUUAUCAAGCAAGUGUAUAUAAACAAUAUUAAAUAAAUAAGUUACCCCUGGUGUGUGUAUGAGGGUGGGGGUGCAGGGAAGAACCUGUUUUUGAUUCCUCGUUGGUGGGGGGGACUCCUGGGGGUAUUAGUAUUUAUACAUUUAUUUGUGGCCUUCUGAGGCUGUUGCCUUGGAAAUGCUCCCCUGAUCUUCCAGGCCUUGGUGAGAGAGAAAGAGGCAGCUCUCCAAAGAGAAACAUUUUCACCCUGAAAUUCCAGCACCACCACUGGUUUCCUCACAUCCUUGACUGUUCUGAGGAGAAGUGUUGAAUCUCUUCAAAGAAAUGACCCUGUAACUUGAUGCAUUCCUCACCAGCCACCUCACUCCUUAAGUCCCUUAAGUCUCAGAGGGAACUGACACAGGUAAACUGAAGAUCUGAGGGAAUCAUUUUGUGGCCGCUCAACGGAGAAGGAACACGCUCGGUGUUCAGAUAACCACAAUCUGACAGACCAAAAGUGGCGGUUGCACCAAAUGCAGCGAGGGAGAAAGAGGGAGCGUGGCUCCCAUCUGAUGGGUAUUAUGGGAGCCCAGCCAAAAAUCCUCAGCGCUCUGUCCUCUGCCCCCUUCGCCACAGGAACAAGAGGAGAUCUACGAGAGAAGUUCCCUCAGGGGAACUUUUCCCUCAGAGAAAUUCCGGCCACGUGGAAAUUGCAGAACCCGCCAAAACCUCUAGCUCCCAAUGUUUGAAAAAGCCAGCACCUGGCGCUUUCCCUGCAUGCCCUGCUCUUUACGGCUGAACCAGAGCAAACAGCAAUCCACAGAAGACCCCAAUUGCUGUUUGUUCCAAUUCAGCUUUAAGGAGCGGGUUUUCCUGAGGAAAAGGUCGAGGGGGGGGGGGACACCCAGACAUGGUGCUUCAAGAGCAUAGUUAUGUGCCUAGAAAAUGCAGGGCAAAAGGUACAUGUGGAUGAGCCCUAACUCUUCCAUCAGUGCAAGAAUGUACACUUGUGCAAUAGAACUCCCCCCUCCCUGUCAUGAGCCCUAUGGAGGUUUCAUAAGGCUAGUAGGAGGGAGAGGGGGAAUAGGAUGAGAGUGCAGAAUUGGAUCCUACGGAGGGGCCCAGCAGUCCAGGAAAUGCUGCAAGUGGUGCAGAAUGCUGCCGCCGGAUUGUUAUGUGAAGAAGCAAGAUGGCAUCAUUUGUUAUCAACCCUUAAAACACCACAUUGGCUGCCUGUGAGCUACUGGGCUCAGUUCACAGUGUUGGUGCUAGGGUACAAAGCCCUGAACUGCUUGGGACCCAAGGACUUAAAGGAUUGCCUCCCCAGUUCCUACCAGCUUAUACAUUAAAUGGUGGAGAAAGCUCUGCUUGUGGUCCCUCCAAAGUAUAUGACCCGUAGGGCAGGGCCUUCUCGGUGGCGACACCUUAGUUGCGGAAAUCCCUCCUUGUGGGGGAUUUGUCUCCUAGCUGAUGUCACUUAGGUCUUAGGAAACAACGUAAAACAUAUUUAUCUGUUCGGGCCUUUGAUACGUAGCUGGAGCAAAAGUAAAUGGUGCAAGUACUGCUUGCUGCCUGUUGCACUGGGUUUUUAAAUUUACAGUUAGCCAUCCUGGGCUCCUAUGGGAAGGACAGGAUGAUAAUUUAAAGACAAAAUUUUAUUGUCCUUUUGGAUUGUGUAUGCAGCCUUGAGUUUCUUUGGAAUCUGGAAAUUAUGUAUUUAUCUAGAGUUAUCUAUCUGCUUAAAAAUAUAAAUAGCAGAGUUCCAAAUGAAUGCAGGUAAGAACGAAGAAUAACACUAUUAAAGAAAGAAAGCCUUGUGGGCGAUUAUUUCCCAAUAUCCCUACUCCACUUUGAACCACGUUUCUGUUUUUAAUUGUGCUGUUUGUGUUUUUCACACACCCACACCCUGUCUGACUUCUUUCGCUCCUUAAUGCUCUCAGGCAUCAAGGCUGUUUGUACACAGAAAAUAAUCCUAAUGUUAACAUAAAAUAGAAAGCAGGCUUGCUUCUUCUUCUUUUUUCAAACCACAUAAUAGCUGUUAAGAAGAUCUAUCUUUCUAAUGAUCCGCUCGAGGGUCAGAACAGCUAAUCUCUUCUUAGGACUGUAAAGAUAAUAUUAACACAGGGAGAAGUAGCUAUGGGCAGCAGACAAAGCCGCACGGUAAAUCAAAAGACCCUCGUGCUAAGUGAUAUUCUGCACACAUCCCACACCACAUGUCAGCUGGAUCCCCCUCCAGGAUCCAGAGGACUUCAGCCUUUUUACAAUGGUGGAGGAAAGGCUGAAAAUGCCUGCUGGAGGAGUCAGGUGUACAAGGAGUAUUCCGUAUAGUUAUUUAGGGGGGGGGAAACAAGGUUUUGUUCCCUGGGGCCAUUGCACUCUGCCUUUGGAGAAAACAAAACAAAAUAAAAACAGCUAAAGAUUUUUUUAUAUAUAUUAGUCAUCUGGACAUUCAUCUGAUUAAAAAAAAAAGAAUGAUGUGAGUUGAUCACUAAUCUGCACGAGCACAUCUAUCUAUCAUCUAUCUAUCAUCUAUCUAUAUCUAUUUUAAAGAAUCUGAAAUUUCUAUUUUGUUAGUCACUAUAAUAAAUAGUUUUAGUGACGAACUAUAUCCUACUAGGAACCAUCACAAACGUGUCUGAAGUGCUGUUUGAUGCUUUCAAUGUGAUCUAUCGAUCAAUCGAUCAAUCUAGGAACUCAUUCUAUUCUCUUGACUUUGAUUUUUUAAAACUGAUUUUUAUAUUGUAUUUUUUAAUUGCUGAUAUCUGCCCUGGGAACUUAUGGUAAAUGGUGGCUAAAUCAUCAUCAUCAUCGAGUUUGAAGGAACCCCAGGGUUCAUCUGGUACAAUCCCCUGCAAUGCAACAAUCACAGCUCAAGAAGAACUCAUUGUAAAAACUUAUAAUUAGCAUAUUUUUUGCUCCUAAUUCCAAUUAAAAAGGUUUUUUUUUUUUUAAUGAUUUACUGUAAACCUUACAGGCAUUUCAGGAAGGAAGCAUUAUAUUAGGAGGAGACCUAAAUGAAUGUCUAAAUCCUCAUCUAGAUCGAAAAAACUAUACAAAAAGAUAUAAACACUCCAAUCAUACUGUUUCACAACUUAUUUAUGACUUCAAUCUGGCACCUUUGCCAUCCUACUACUAGGCAAUAUUCUUUUCAUUCAUACUUAUUUGCAUAUCUGGAUCAUUUGGACUAUCUUUUCGUUUCUAGUGAUUUAAACAAGAAGUUUAUACUAUGAUUCUGGCAAUAAGGCAUCUGGGUUGCUAGGUCAUUCCUUGAAGAAACGGAGAUCCAUGAAUUUAAUUCAUUGUAUUCAAUCAUCUCAAGGUGUUUUGUUAUACAGUAAUCCUUCAAUUAGCAAAUAAUUUAUAUAACUUUUCAAACAACUGUAUUCCUCUAAUUUAUCAUCUGCAGAGGCCAUCAACUCAUAUCUUACUCAGACUGCUCUUCUAAUCUCAAUGGAAGAACUUUUUGAACAAGAUGCAUUUCAGUUAUAAAUUCCUCCAUCUGAUAAAUCUAAUUUAACCAUCAUCAACAAGAAUAACAAUUAAAAGAGAGCAUGCAGAUAGUACUAUUAUUAAUAGAGGAACUAAACAGGGCUGCCUUCUAUCGCUGCUUUUUCAGUGGCAAUAGAGGUUCUAGCAAUAAAUUUGAGGUCUCAAAAGGUAUUGAGGAUAUUAUGGUUGAAGGCGCACCAACUUAAUCUUUUUGCAGAUGAUAUGUUUUUAAUGCUUCAGAAUGCAAGAGUUUAAAUUCCUUUUCAAAAAUAGCAGGCUUGAAAAUAAAUUACAAUAAAUUGGUUAUAUUGUCCAUCAUUGUCCCACAUCAGGAGUGUGUUUGGCUGUAUUCAGGCUUCAAGUUAUUGUGUGGUGAGUUUGAAUACUUAGGUUUAAUAGUUACUGCUGAAAUUAAUCAGCUGUCCAUAGAAAUUAUGACCAGCAUUUCAAAAAAUUAAGAAAUGAAUUUAGGUCAUGGAAAUGUUUUUAGUUGGGCAACUUGAUUUAAACUUUUUUUAAUAUUGUGCUGUUGUGUUUUAAUGUUGUAACUUGCACUUGGACCUUAGGGUGAAGGGCACAUAAUACAUUAAAUGAAUGAAUGAAUAAAGUAUAGAAUGCCCAAGCCUGUAACUUCUGAGACUUUGCUCCAGAUGCCCCAUCAUUAGAUAUUAAGUUGGUAGCUGCUAGGUAUAUUCCAUUGUAGCUCCCUGACUACAGGUCCUCAUCCUGAUUUGCCUGUCACCUUAUCUGAUAUCUUUUUAGAUGCCAGGUGAAAAUUGCUUUAUUUAUUAUAUGCUUUGGUGGGGUUUAAUGAUGGGCUGGUGGUGGUUUAACACACCUAGGAGUAGGUCUGAUUGAACUUAAGGGAACAUUUCUGAGCAGACAGUGGGCCAUUUGCACUAUCCAGUGCAGAGGUGGGGAGCCUGUAUCCACACCUACCCACACCCAAUGAUGCUGGACUCCAGCUCCCAUCAGCCUCAGACAGGGUGGUUAUUGAGCAGGAAUGAUGGGAGUUGCAGUCCAACAACAGGUUCUCCAUCAGUCAUCUAAUGCUACCAUUCUUGAUAUGUAUCUAUAAUGCAUUUUACAAAACAGCUAUCCUUUUUAAAAUUAUGCAAACUGCCUCAAACUUCAAUUUGAUGGAAAGGGCGAGGUGGCGGGGGGAGUAAAAAUCUUUCCAGUAGCAAAACAAAAGCAAACGUGGUGCUCUGGACUACUGGCGACACUCCUGGAAUGAAUAUGUCACAACCCAGAAACGUGCUACAAACCGUUUCUCCAGACACCAAUCUCCAUUUGGCUAUGGAACCAUGAUAAUUAUGUAGGGUGGUUUUAGGCAUGCAAGACCAUGCGGUCUUGAUAUGCAUGAAAGGAAACACAUAAUCUCCUCCCUCCCCCCAAAAUAAACCACCCAUGGACUUAAUCAUUGCUAAGGAAAUGUCAGAAUCAUUCUUUAGAUCCCUACUAAGUAAUGUCCAUGCUGACCUAAACUAGACUUGGGAUGUAAGCCUUACCCAAUGGCCAGGCUCCCAAUCCUUUCUUCAGCCAGCAACCAUGGAGUCUCUUCAACGUGUCAUAUUUCAAAAGGGAAUAAAAUGGAAGGGGAGAAAGGUAGAAAUUCUAGAGUUCUCUGGCAAGAAGAUCAGAAAAAGGAGAGAGUAGGGGGGAAAGAAAUUACAGCUUGGCCUCCUUGCUGAUAUUAUAGUGGAGCAGCUCAGAAAUAGCUUCACAGGGAAGGUCGAUUAAAAAAAAGGAAAAAGGAAAGGAGUGGAGUAACUAUAAAACCAGCCAUAAAACAAGGUUGCAAUUUUAACCUUCCUCUCGAAACCUCAAGAUGAAUAUCAUAGAGAAAUAAUUAGAUAUGCGGAAGAGGCACUUCAAAUCAAAAGCCCUCCUUGCGCCUUUCGCAUUUGUACAAGCAAGAAGGGUGGAAGGAGGGAGAGAAAAGAGCAUGAACAUAUCAAGCUUCAAGUUCUCCCUGUGUGAACUGAUGGAGGGAGAUAUAAAAAAAAAACCCUAUAUAAAUAGCACUUGAGCCGUUUUCAUGUCAUUAUCUCACUGCCUUCUCAUUCCCUCCACU
Non-coding RNA from Podarcis lilfordi (Lilford's wall lizard), 5957 nucleotides. NCBI's taxonomy places the organism in Eukaryota, Metazoa, Chordata, Lepidosauria, Squamata, Lacertidae. The record is from the annotation of a GenBank genome assembly.